GGAUUAGAAACCCGGGUAGUCCACGCCGUAAACGAUGAGUGCUAGUUGUCGGGCGGCAUGCCGUUCGGUGACGCAGCUAACGCAUUAAGCACUCCGCCUGGGGAGUACGGUCGCAAUAUUAAAAACUCAAAGGAAUUGACGGGGGGCCCGCACAAGCAGCGGAGCAUGUGGUUUAAUUCGACGCAACGCGAAGAACCUUACCUGGGCUUGACAUGUCCGUGACCGGCGUGGAAACACGUCUUCCCUUCGGGGCACGGUCACAGGUGGUGCAUGGCUGUCGUCAGCUCGUGUCGUGAGAUGUUGGGUUAAGUCCCGCAACGAGCGCAACCC
RNAcentral lists this ribosomal RNA (330 nucleotides) under uncultured bacterium. RNAcentral describes it as "bacterial SSU rRNA". It matches the Rfam family "Bacterial small subunit ribosomal RNA", at positions 775 to 1104 of the family's 1533-position model. The record is from RNAcentral.